Malania oleifera is the source of this 2333-nucleotide long non-coding RNA. RefSeq lists it as uncharacterized. The record is from RefSeq and is a predicted model, not a curated record. Lineage: Eukaryota; Viridiplantae; Streptophyta; Magnoliopsida; Santalales; Ximeniaceae. The transcript has 2 exons.
UCUUCUUUCUCUCAUUUUUUCCAAUUUUUCUCGAAUGCUUUCAGCUUCCCUUCUCUCGCCUCUCCUCUUCUUCCCCCUCUGUCUCCUGCAAACCCUAACCCAAGCUCUGAACUUCAACGAAAACCCUAGCUAGCAUCUGUAGCUCUUCUCUCCCUCUCCCUCAUUCUCCUCUCUUUUCCUUCCCUCUAUGCGAAACCCUAGUUUAAACCCUCCUUUGUAACUCUAUCAGACUCCCUCUAUCUCUUACCCUUGUUCUUUCAAAUUCUCCUUUCGAAGCCGAAGCUCAAGUUUGUCGCUCUGCAACUCCCCUACCCCUCUCUCCUUCUUCUCAACAACUCUCGGAGGCAUUGUAGCUUUUGACGUUGGAAAGAAACUAUGGCGAACCUGCCCUAAAGGACUUCGAAGGAAAUGGUUGAUAGGGAUUUCAGAGAGGCUCACUCGAAGUCCAAAGAAAAGAUGGGUUCUUCCUCCUCCUCCUCUCUCUCUCUCUCUCUCUCUCUCUCUCUCUCUCCUUCUUCUUUUUUGACUUUUAUUUAUUUAUUUAUUUAUUGCCUGUGAUUUGAUGUGUGUAUAUGGUAUGUGAAUGCUAGUUGUGUGUGUGAUUCUCUAUGUUGUAUUUGGAGAGUUAGGGUUUCAAGUCUGGGAUGGUUGGGGUUGAAGACAAGUGAACUCGUCUUUGGCUCGGUGAGUUGUGGUGAUUCCAACCAGGGUUGACUCGAAUGGGUUAUGUGAGCUCGAAUGAACCCGAGCAGGUUGGACACAUACGGUUAGGCACUCACUACGAGUCAACCCGAAUGGGUUAUGUGAGCUCGAAUGAACCCGAGCAGGUUGGACACAUACGGUUAGGCACUCACUGGUGUUGGGUUAGCUCAAGUGGUCUUAGGGUGAUGGGCUUUGGUUGAUUUUUAAAAUGGGCUUGAGUCAAUUUUUUUAAACAAGCAUGGGGUAAAAUGUUAAGAUGGACUUGAGUCAAUUUUUUUAAAUGAACCUAGGGUAAAAUGUUAAGAUGGGCUUGAGUCAAUUUUUCCAAAAUGGGUUUAGGGUAAAAAGUUAAGAUGGGCUUGAGUCAAUUUUUUAAACGAGCCUAGGAUAAAAUGCUAAGAUGGACUUGAGUCAAUUUUUUAAACGAGCCUAAGAUAAAAUGCUAAAACAGUAUGGCUUUGGGCUGGUCUUAAAAGCAUGAAUUGGGUCGGGUGAUUUUAAAAUGUGUUAGGAUUUAGUUAAAAAUAAAACGAGCUAAGGGUAAAAAGUUACAGAGGUUGAGCUUCAAACCCAAACCUAGGUUCGGGUUAGGGGAUUCGGUUUACAUGGUUAUGUAUGAAAGUUUGAACCUGAACUGGGAUUCAAGUUCGACGGACGGAUCUGGGUAAACCUGAGUUCAGGUUUGGUGGGCUGGUUCGAGAGGCUCGAACCCGAACUUGGAUUCGAGUUUAGGGAAGUGGGCUCGGGUUUGGUCUCUGCAGUUCAAAUUCAAGCAUGAACAUGAAAUUUAACAAGAAUAAUCCCUGCAUUCACAUCCACACACCACUAUUGAAUGAAUUGAAUGAUAACAAGAAUGAUGGUUUCGAACUUUUACCCUCUUCCUUUCUCUCCUCCUGUCUUUCUGUGUCUUUUUUGGACAUCUAGUCUGGUGGCUUGAGUGUGUCUGAAUGCUUUAUGUAGUUUGCUUCUCCACUUCCUGCACUAUUCUGCCCUUUGCAAUUUAGCAGAGCUCCUCCAACAUCUGAGGGAACUCCCGCUUCUCUACUCUCUGCUUCAACAAAGUUUCUCUUUGCUCUUAGUUCUCAUUUCUCAACUCGGCAGAGUAUCUCUAAAGCUUUCUCACUCUCAAUUUGGCAGGGUGCUUUUGUACUCUCCGAAGUGUGCCUUUGCUACAGUGAGACUCCCUAUUUAUAGGGAGUCUGAGGGUACUUUUUGGCGCCAAUUAACAGAAUUCCCCUCCCCCUGGCAGGGAAUAAUUCUUUCUAACAACUCACAUGUGAUUUUUGCAUUUCAUUUCUUGUUAUUUUGGACUCCGGUUAACUGAUUUUGUGCUUCCUAUGUGUAGGUGAACCUGGUGAUCCAGGUGGAAUUCUGGGAAUGGAAGGCAUGGCAUCUUAUUAUUUUUGUGCUUGUUUUUAUUUCUUUGCAUUCUGUAUGUUGAUGUACCCACGGGUUGGCUUGUACUGCAACAGCAGUUUGUACAUGUAACCUUUACUGGUAUUUUUGUAUUUCUAUAUUUUCAUUUUCCUUUUUGUAACUUGCAUGUACCCCCGUGUAGUUUUCCCCUGCAACUAUAACUUGUACAACAUUUUUCUUUUUGUAAGUGUUUCUGUCCCUUGCAUGUUCAAACA